Molecule: ribosomal RNA, 756 nt
Filed under: uncultured bacterium
Lineage: Bacteria
Description: bacterial SSU rRNA
Rfam family: Bacterial small subunit ribosomal RNA
Source: RNAcentral
AGUUUGAUCAUGGCUCAGGACGAACGCUGGCGGCGUGCUUAACACAUGCAAGUCGAACGGUGAAGCCCAGCUUGCUGGGUGGAUCAGUGGCGAACGGGUGAGUAACACGUGAGUAACCUGCCCCUGACUCUGGGAUAAGCCUUGGAAACGAGGUCUAAUACCGGAUAUGUGACGUUCAGGCAUCUGAUGCGUCUGGAAAGAUUUAUCGGUCAGGGAUGGACUCGCGGCCUAUCAGCUUGUUGGUGGGGUAACGGCCUACCAAGGCGACGACGGGUAGCCGGCCUGAGAGGGCGACCGGCCACACUGGGACUGAGACACGGCCUAGACUCCUACGGGAGGCAGCAGUGGGGAAUAUUGCACAAUGGGCGCAAGCCUGAUGCAGCGACGCCGCGUGAGGGAUGAAGGCCUUCGGGUUGUAAACCUCUUUCAGCAGGGAAGAAGCGCAAGUGACGGUACCUGCAGAAGAAGCGCCGGCUAACUACGUGCCAGCAGCCGCGGUAAUACGUAGGGCGCAAGCGUUGUCCGGAAUUAUUGGGCGUAAAGAGCUCGUAGGCGGUUUGUCGCGUCUGCUGUGAAAACUCGAGGCUCAACCUCGGGCUUGCAGUGGGUACGGGCAGACUAGAGUGCGGUAGGGGAGACUGGAAUUCCUGGUGUAGCGGUGGAAUGCGCAGAUAUCAGGAGGAACACCGAUGGCGAAGGCAGGUCUCUGGGCUGCAACUGACGCUGAGGAGCGAAAGCGUGGGGAGCAAACAGGAU